RNAcentral lists this small RNA (247 nucleotides) under Mesocricetus auratus (golden hamster). RNAcentral's name for it is "7SK RNA (ENSMAUG00000003323.1)". It matches the Rfam family "7SK RNA", at positions 1 to 251 of the family's 331-position model. Rfam says of the family: 7SK was discovered as an abundant small nuclear RNA in the mid-70s but a possible function has only recently been suggested. Two independent studies have found that 7SK RNA binds the CDK9/cyclin T complex (known as elongation factor P-TEFb). P-TEFb activates transcription by phosphorylating the C-terminal domain of RNA polymerase II. The record is from RNAcentral. Lineage: Eukaryota; Metazoa; Chordata; Mammalia; Rodentia; Cricetidae.
AGACAUCAGAGGGACCUGGUAGGGCAUCCAUCACCCACUGAUCACUUGGGCAGAUCUGAUCAAUCUGACUGGCUAGGUGAGUGUCCCCUUCCUCUGCUCAUUGCUCCACAUGCACCCCUUCCAGGGUCACACACUCGGUGGAAGAAGAUAACCUUCCCUGAUUGUGGAGGUCCAGUGUGAGAGCAGCCACGCCCCCUCUUAGGACCUCCAAACAAACCCUCAACAUCCAAUCCUCCCGUUCCACAUU